GUGGGGAAUAUUGGGCAAUGGGGGAAACCCUGACCCAGCAACGCCGCGUGAAGGAAGAAGGUCUUCGGAUUGUAAACUUCUGUCAUUGGGGACGAAGGAAGUGACGGUACCCGAUGAGGAAGCCCCGGCUAACUACGUGCCAGCAGCCGCGGUAAUACGUAGGGGGCGAGCGUUGUCCGGAAUUACUGGGCGUAAAGGGUGCGUAGGCGGCGAUGCAAGUCCAUUGUGAAAAGCCCGGGCUUAACCUGGGAGGUGCAGUGGAAACUGUAUGGCUUGAGUGCAGGAGAGGAAAGUGGAAUUCCUAGUGUAGCGGUGAAAUGCGUAGAUAUUAGGAGGAACACCAGUGGCGAAGGCGACUUUCUGGACUGUAACUGACGCUGAGGCACGAAAGCGUGGGGAGCAAACAGGAUUAGAUACCCGUGUAGUCC
Molecule: ribosomal RNA, 428 nt
Filed under: uncultured bacterium
Lineage: Bacteria
Description: partial 16S ribosomal RNA
Rfam family: Bacterial small subunit ribosomal RNA
Source: RNAcentral